Long non-coding RNA from Pseudopipra pipra, 472 nucleotides. RefSeq lists it as uncharacterized. The transcript is spliced from 2 exons. NCBI's taxonomy places the organism in Eukaryota, Metazoa, Chordata, Aves, Passeriformes, Pipridae. The record is from RefSeq and is a predicted model, not a curated record.
UGGCCACCAUCCUCCUCAUGAAGGGCUGGAUGUCCUUCUGGACGCACUUGAAGUAGGAGCACUGGGGCAGAUACCUCUCCUCUAUGAUGCUUUUUUCAUCAUCACUCCUAUUUGUUUAAUCUCUUCUCUCUGCAAAUCCUAGAGAAAAAUCGUGAAGAUGCUUCAGUGGACAGGAUGGGCUCAAGCUUUGCAGACCAACAGACACAUUGCGUGUGUGUGCCCUGCGGCCGCAGGUUUUUUGUUUGUUUAAAUGAAAUAAGUAACCCUCGCAGUGCUUGAAACCUGAAGGCUGGAGUGUGAAACAUGAGAAUCUGAAAGUGAAACCGACUGGAAGCCAAGAAAGAAACAGAUGAACGUGUUUCCACUGUCCAAGCUGAGGAAAGCCCUGAAAGCAAACAAACACCGUCAAUAUUAAAAUGUGCAAUAGAUUUGAAAUAAAAUUAUUCCAGCAUCAAUCACUGGAAACAGUCUA